UUCAGUUGCAAAAUUGUAUUG
Molecule: non-coding RNA, 21 nt
Filed under: Caenorhabditis elegans
Lineage: Eukaryota; Metazoa; Nematoda; Chromadorea; Rhabditida; Rhabditidae
Source: RNAcentral